AGAGCGAACGCUGGCGGCAGGCUUAACACAUGCAAGUCGAGCGCCCCGCAAGGGGAGCGGCAGACGGGAGAGUAACACGUGGGAACGUACCUUUCGGUUCGGAACAACCCAGGGAAACUUGGGCUAAUACCGGAUACGUCCGUAAGGAGAAAGAUUUAUCGCCGAAAGAUCGGCCCGCGUCUGAUUAGCUAGUUGGUGAGGUAACGGCUCACCAAGGCGACGAUCAGUAGCUGGUCUGAGAGGAUGAUCAGCCUCACUGGGACUGAGACACGGCCCAGACUCCUACGGGAGGCAGCAGUGGGGAAUAUUGGACAAUGGGCGCAAACCUGAUCCAGCCAUGCCGCGUGGGUGAUGAAGGCCCUAGGGUUGUAAAGUCCUUUUAACGGGGAGAUAAUGACGGUACCCGUAGAAUAAGCCCGGCUAACUUCGUGCCAGCAGCCGC
This 442-nucleotide ribosomal RNA is filed under the name uncultured bacterium. Its description in RNAcentral is "SSU rRNA". It matches the Rfam family "Bacterial small subunit ribosomal RNA", at positions 26 to 518 of the family's 1533-position model. The record is from RNAcentral.